This is a long non-coding RNA of Topomyia yanbarensis, 1230 nucleotides long. RefSeq lists it as uncharacterized. Lineage: Eukaryota; Metazoa; Arthropoda; Insecta; Diptera; Culicidae. The transcript has 4 exons. The record is from RefSeq and is a predicted model, not a curated record.
CGCAGGGGAAAAUAUUGUGGCCAUAAAUAAACUGGCUGGAAUCUACAUUUCUUUAAAAUAAUUUUUUUUGCAAAUACUACUCAUAUUUUAUAUACUCUACUAUGAGGUAAAAACGAACCUCUAGCUGAAAUUCACAUCACCGCCGAGCAAAGUCACCGAAGUAGGUUCAACAAAACCGAUGUUUUCGAAUAGGCCGACCACCACAGAAAAAAAUAUUGGUAAAACAGCGGAAGGGAAAAUCAACAGAUUACGCAAAAAAUAUACUAUACCAUAUACACUCACCGAGAAGAAUCGCAAAAGGAGAUCCAGUGGAUUAGGUCCCUGUAGGAUGCAUACUACAGAAAAGAGACGGAUUUCCGCCGACCGCUGCUUCCCGGUCAAACCAUUCGGAAUUUGAUUCGAAAUCCUGAAUGGAGUCAGUAUUGGCAUAUUUAUCCAGAAAAUAUAUAUAGGGGGCGCAACAUGCUUGAGGUGGAUGUUUUGCGAAGCUGACAAUAUUCGUAUGAAUAACUGAAAGUAAUGUGGAAGAAAUUUAAUUUCCUUCAAGAUGACAACAGACUUUUUCUGCAAAAGAGGGAUACUAUAUUGCUUGUGGCACUAAAAACUGGAUUAUAACCGCACAGCGCACCUAAUAUUCUUCUAAUAAAUUCUCAUAGACUGGUUAGUUCGAUUGGUCUGUCUAUGAAAGUACCAUCUCUAUCACUUGAAUUACAUGUGUUUUGACAGCUCGCCCUUCUCAGUAGGAGUUUGAUCACUCGCACUUUAAAAGGGCGGAGUCCAGGUUGGUGGGAAGUGCGCAAUAGCAUAUUUUUAAAUUUUUUUUCAGAACCGGUAUAAAACCACCUCGCAGAAAGUUGUAUUUGCUCGAAAUGAGAGCUAAUUGUUGUCAAAAGUGCGCUUCGAUGGGUUGUUUAAAUAUUAUUGAAUCGGACGGUUAUGAAUCCUAACCUAGACGUGCAGUAUUCACACUUUUGAAGAUUUCUUAUGUUUAACUUGAGUGUAUCUACAAAAACUGUUACUAUUAACUUCCGAAAUGUUUUUCUUCCCCUCUGAGCCCAUUAUUCCCUAUGAUUGAUGCUUAUUUAAGGAAUAACGUCAAAAAAUCGUAUCAAAUUACAUAGCAUAGGCACAGAGAACAGACAUCCAUGAUCGAACAAAUAUACUAAUAAAACGUGUGUAAACAUUUGAAUUAAUAUACGAUAAAACACUAGCGCCGCCAAACCAACUUAU